Molecule: ribosomal RNA, 253 nt
Filed under: uncultured bacterium
Lineage: Bacteria
Description: partial 16S ribosomal RNA
Rfam family: Bacterial small subunit ribosomal RNA
Source: RNAcentral
UACGUAGGGGGCGAGCGUUGUCCGGAUUUAUUGGGCGUAAAGAGCGUGUAGGCGGCCAGGUAGGUCUGCUGUGAAAACUCGAGGCUCAACCUCGAGACGCCGGUGGAAACCGUAAAGCUAGAGUCCGGAAGAGGAGAGUGGAAUUCCUGGUGUAGCGGUGAAAUGCGCAGAUAUCAGGAAGAACACCCGUGGCGAAGGCGGCUCUCUGGGACGGUACUGACGCUGAGACGCGAAAGCGUGGGGAGCGAACAGG